Molecule: long non-coding RNA, 396 nt
Filed under: Lathyrus oleraceus (garden pea)
Lineage: Eukaryota; Viridiplantae; Streptophyta; Magnoliopsida; Fabales; Fabaceae
Description: Pisum sativum (pea) long non-coding RNA (PSAT_LNC025857)
Source: RNAcentral
GAUCUUGAUGUUGAUGUGUUGUAUUGGGAUGCAUAUCCAUACCGUCGAAAUCUUGAAUGGAAAAACUAGGGAUAUCCAGUAGUUGCUCAUCCGUGAGAUCAAAGUCAGGUAGUGAAUGUGUUGCUUGUGUGAAGGUGUUGGGUUGAGUGUGUUGAAUUGGAGGAUAACAGACAUCAUCAGGGUUGAAUGUAGAAGUGAGUUGAGAGAAUGUAGUGUUAAAUGUUUGGGGUUGGAAUUUGGGGUUUGAGCUAUCAAAGUUUGGUUGAGGAAUUAGAGUGUAUUGUAUGAGUGGUUGUAAGUUGGUUUGUUGUUGAUAUUGUUGGUUGUAAUAGUAGUUUGUUUGAGGGAAUGAAGUGUGGGGAUUUUGGUGUUGGGAUGAGGUGACAUAAAAGGUGU